AGAGUUUGAUUCUGGCUCAGGAUGAACGCUAGCGGCAGGCCUAAUACAUGCAAGUCGAGGGGCAGCAGGGGUAGCAAUACUCGCUGGCGACCGGCGCACGGGUGCGUAACACGUAUGCAACUUUCCUUCAACUGGAAGAUAGCCCGAAGAAAUUCGGAUUAAUAUUCCAUAGUUAUAUGAAAUGGCAUCAUUUUAUAUUUAAAGCUCAGGCGGUUGAAGAUGGCAUGCGUUCGAUUAGCUAGUUGGUGAGGUAAUGGCUCACCAAGGCUACGAUCGAUAGGGGAUCUGAGAGGAUUAACCCCCACACUGGUACUGAGACACGGACCAGACUCCUACGGGAGGCAGCAGUAAGGAAUAUUGGACAAUGGAGGCAACUCUGAUCCAGCCAUGCCGCGUGAAGGAUGAAGGUCCUAUGGAUUGUAAACUUCUUUUGAACGGGAGAAAACCUUCGGUCGUGUACCGAAGCUGAUAGUACCGUUAGAAUAAGGGUCGGCUAACUUCGUGCCAGCAGCCGCGGUAAUACGAAGGACCCGAGCGUUAUCCGGAUUUAUUGGGUUUAAAGGGUGCGUAGGCGGAAUGGUAAGUCAGUGGUGAAAUCUUGUGGCUUAACUGCAAAACUGCCAUUGAUACUGCCAAUCUUGAGUACAUUUGAUGUGGGCGGAAUGUGCCAUGUAGUGGUGAAAUACUUAGAUAUGGCACAGAACACCGAUCGCGAAGGCAGCUCACAAAACUGUUACUGACGCUGAGGCACGAAAGCGUGGGGAUCAAACAGGAUUAGAUACCCUGGUAGUCCACGCCUUAAACUAUGAUUACUCGAUGUGUGCGAUACACAGUACGCGUCUAAGCGAAAGCGUUAAGUAAUCCACCUAGGGAGUACGGUCGCAAGAUUGAAACUCAAAGAAAUUGACGGGGGCCCGCACAAGCGGAGGAGCAUGUGGUUUAAUUCGAUGAUACGCGAGGAACCUUACCUGGGCUUGAAAGUUAGUGAAUGCUGUGGAAACAUGGCAGGCCGCAAGGACACGAAACUAGGUGCUGCAUGGCUGUCGUCAGCUCGUGCCGUGAGGUGUUGGGUUAAGUCCCGCAACGAGCGCAACCCCUAUCUUUAGUUGCCAGCGAGUAAUGUCGGGGACUCUAAAGAAACUGCCCGUGCAAACGGUGAGGAAGGUGGGGAUGACGUCAAGUCAGCACGGCCCUUACGUCCAGGGCUACACACGUGCUACAAUGGCGAGUACAAAGGGCAGCUACAUGGUGACAUGAUGCUAAUCUCUAAAACUCGUCUCAGUCCGGAUUGAAGUCUGCAAUUCGACUUCAUGAAGCUGGAUUCGCUAGUAAUCGAAUAUCAGCAAUGAUUCGGUGAAUACGUUCCCGGGCC
RNAcentral lists this ribosomal RNA (1372 nucleotides) under metagenome. RNAcentral's name for it is "bacterial SSU rRNA". It matches the Rfam family "Bacterial small subunit ribosomal RNA", at positions 8 to 1380 of the family's 1533-position model. The record is from RNAcentral.